AAGGCUAGUCUCAAGCUCCUGGCCUCAGGUGAUCCUCUCACCUUGGCCUCCCAAAGUGUUGGGAUUAUAGUCCUGAGCCACUGUACCUGGCCACAUUUCUUAACUUAAAAAAGAGCCAGGGCAGCUCUUUUUAAAAAUAUCUGUGGAAAGUGGAGCUGAAUCAACAUGACUCAGCAGAAAUGGUCAUAACCAGUGGCAGAACUUCUUAUUCUUGGCCUCUUCUCAAGGGCUGGAGUUGGGGGAUAUGGUCCACCUUACUGGGCUGUCGUAAAGCCAGAUAGGAUCAUGCAUAUAACCUCUCCCUCUACACAGUACUUGGCAGGUGACACAUUAGUGCUUCUCACAAGAAAACCCUCCACCUCUUCCACACCCAUCCAAACUCCUGCUGUCCUUCAGGACACUCCUCAGAUUCUGCCUCCUCCAGGAAGCCUUCCCUGCCUCCAUCCACACGCACUUUUCCCCUUCCCUGAACUCUGGCAGCACUCACCAUGUGCGUCACUCAUUGUCGCAGUUGAUCCCUUUGUGCCUUCUACUAUUUACAGUAAGGGAGGAUAUGGCUUUCAGUCUAGCUUGAUUAUUAGCUCUUUAAGGCCAAGAACUAUAUCUUGUACUUCUUUUUUAUACCCCAUGACAUAAACACAUAUUGACUCUUCAGCAUCCAAUAUAUUCUUGUCCCAACUGAAUGGAAUUUCCAUCAACUUGACAUUCCUCCCAGAAGAAUGAGGCAUUACUUGAACCUGGAGUUGCAAUACAGUCUUCUUCGUCUUGGUCAUUCACAAACACGUGAAAAGACCCACCGUAGAUGAGCUCUCCAGGAAACCCCAGUGUUUAUAGUUUUCCAUCUGGGAAUGCAUCCACUUAUGUGUAGCUUUGCUUAUAGUCUUUAAGCCAAUUCCAUAUCGAUGGUAAAACAACCCUUAGUGACUCAAUUUUUUAAAAAAUAGUCUUUAAAGUGGGAUUUUCUCACAGGUUUUUGAAAGUCAAAUUAAAUUGGGUUCUGUGGUUCCCUCUUAUCCAUAUGCUUAUUUAUCUGCUCAAAGAACUCAAGGAGAUUAGUGAGACGUGAUUUCUCCUUACUGACACCACGUUGCCUUCCCUCUGAUAGGCCAUGUUUACUUAAGCGUUUAGCGAUUCAGCUUUAUUAUACAUUCACUCGGUAAACAUUAAAUGCUUACUCCAUGCAAGCUGCUACCAAACGGUCCCUUGUGAUACAGAAAAUACCUCGGCAUAUUAGUUUGAUAAAUUAAGUGAAAAGGAACUUAAAUAAUGCAUGCUCUCAUUCUCCAACAGGGAGAGCCCAUCUCUGCUCACAGAUUCAGGCUUGAGUUACGUGAGUUUUGUCCCUGGACAGCCUGGUGGAGAAGGGCUCUAAUUUGGGAAGCUGGAUUUAGCUCUGAAAUUUGACAUGAGCUGUCUACAGCUCUAAGCAAGGCAGAAGUUCUUCCUGCAAGCACAAACAGACUGCAGAGGGCAGUGAAACCAGAAACACAGGCAAAACUAAUAGAAAAAAGAGUGU
Piliocolobus tephrosceles (Ugandan red Colobus) is the source of this 1516-nucleotide long non-coding RNA. RefSeq lists it as uncharacterized. The transcript has 3 exons. The record is from RefSeq and is a predicted model, not a curated record. Lineage: Eukaryota; Metazoa; Chordata; Mammalia; Primates; Cercopithecidae.